AGUAGUGUACAGGUGAGCAUAAAGUAUUUUCGCUACCUAAGAGUGAGGUUAAAUACCUUAUACUGAAAGGAAAUAAUUUCCGCUUUUAGUUGAUUAUAAAUAUUUCGGAUAAGAUGAAGUAAAGGUAAUGGCUUCACUGACUAGUAUCCGUAGUCGUAACUGAGAGGUUGAUCGAUCACAUUGGGUCUGAAAAAACCCCAAUGCAUAAAUUGUACAGCAGUGAGGAAUUUUGGUCAAUGGCCUAACGGCUGAACCAGCAACUUGGAGGAACGUAUUUGGACUAUGUCUUAUAAAGUUCUAGGUAAAAAGUUGAUAAUGACAGCUUUUUAUCUAUAUGUCUCGACAAAAUCUUGUGCCAGCAGUCGCGGCAAGACAAGGGAGCCUAGUGUUAUUCAUCUUUAUUAGGUUUAAAGGGUACCUAGACUGUAAUUCUAGCCGUAGUAGGUACUGUUUUACUAGAGUUUGGAUAUAGGGAGGCACGAACAAUUGGUGGAGAGAUGAAAUUCUUUUAUACCUUUCGAACGGGUAAAGGUGAAAACAACCUCUUAUGUAAAAACUGACGUUGAGGGACGAAGGCUUGGGGAGCAAACAGGAUUAGAUACCCCAGUAGUCCUUGCAGAGAAUGAUGAGUGUCAUAAAUUAUCCUAUGGGUAGUAUAUAAAUGAAAGUGUAAGCACUCCACCUCAAGAGUAAUGUGGCAACGCUGGAACUGAAAUCAUUAGACCGUGUUUGAAACCAGUAGUGAAGUAUGUUAUUUAAUUCGAUAAUCCUCGAAAAACCUUACCACAAUUUGUAUACCACUAACUAUUUAAGGUAAUAGCAAGCGCCACGGCGUUUGCUAAAGUAAAGAUUUAGUUAGCGCCGCGGAGUUUGCUAAAGCGAAAAGAUAGUUUCUGGUACAAGCGUUGCACGGCUGUCUUCAGUUAAUGUCGUGAGAUUUUGGUUAGAUCCAUUAAAUUAACGUAAACCCUUGUUCUUGUUUUAACAAGUUCAGUUCUCCGUUAUAUUGGGAUAUGAUAACAGGACUA
Molecule: ribosomal RNA, 1028 nt
Filed under: Superstratomyces atroviridis
Lineage: Eukaryota; Fungi; Ascomycota; Dothideomycetes; Superstratomycetales; Superstratomycetaceae
Description: SSU rRNA
Rfam family: Bacterial small subunit ribosomal RNA
Source: RNAcentral